Molecule: long non-coding RNA, 523 nt
Filed under: Ananas comosus (pineapple)
Lineage: Eukaryota; Viridiplantae; Streptophyta; Magnoliopsida; Poales; Bromeliaceae
Description: long non-coding RNA (ACOM_LNC040411)
Source: RNAcentral
UAAAUAAAUAUGCUUUUACCAUCAUAUAUAACCCUCAUUAUUCGGUGUAAUUAAGCAAGUAAUCUAUUACUCUAUAUGAAUUCUCAAUAAUUUUGCUACGUGGCAAGUUUUUCUCAACCCUCACUAAUCUUUUUUCUGAAUUCAUUUUUACUUUUGGCUUUUCCACUCCCCUCCUCUCUAUUCAAUGAUAUGUAAUCAAUGUGUUUUUUAAUUUAUACGUUUCCUCUUCAAAAUUAUUUUUUUUGAAUUGAUUUUUAUUCUUGGCUUUUCUUCUUCCCUCCUCUCUAUUCAAUGAUAUGUAAUCAAUGUGUUUUUUAAUUUAUACGUUUCCUCUUCAAAAUUAUUUUUUUUGAAUUGAUUUUUAUUCUUGGCUUUUCUUCUUCCCUCCUCUCUAUUCAAUGAUAUGUAAUCAAUAUGCAUUUUAAUUUAUGCGUUUCCUCUUCAAAAUUAGUCAUUUCUUCUCCCACAAAUAAUUUCUUACAUACAAAAUUAAAAAAAUGAGAAGAUGAAUAAUUACUACUUU